This 331-nucleotide ribosomal RNA is filed under the name uncultured bacterium. RNAcentral's name for it is "bacterial SSU rRNA". It matches the Rfam family "Bacterial small subunit ribosomal RNA", at positions 28 to 342 of the family's 1533-position model. The record is from RNAcentral.
AGCGAACGCUGGCGGCAUGCCUAACACAUGCAAGUCUGACGGGCGGGGGCUUUUGGGCUCUGUCAGUGGCGGACGGGUGAGGAGCGCGUAGGAACGUAUCCAGGGGUGGGGGACAACCGCGGGAAACUGCGGCUAAUACCGCAUGGGGCCUUGUGGGGAGACCCGAAAGGGGGGAUCCGGGGCCAAAGGCGAGGGCGACCUCGCCGCCGCUGGAGCGGCCUGCGUCCGAUUAGCUAGUUGGUGGGGUGACGGCCCACCAAGGCUGUGAUCGGUAGCUGGUCUGAGAGGAUGAUCAGCCACACUGGGACUGAGACACGGCCCAGACUCCUAC